AUGGGAUCCGCCGCUAGCUCCAACAACAACGCCACGCCCGACCUCGACCUGGAAGCGACGGUGAGCGAGAUCGUGCAGUCCGUGUUCCCAGGGGCUUCCCCAACGAAGGCGCAGCUCGCAAGCUCUCUCUGGGCAGUGGGUUCUGCCACGUUCGUCUUCGGCAUGAGCACCGUGUUACACCCGCCGCAGGCCGGACCAAUCUUCGGUCCGGUCUUCCACUACCUCAUCCUCGGCGUGGUCGUCGCCACCGCUGCGGUCGAGAUGGCGACCGCCGUCUUUCUGCGCGUCCCCGUCCUCUCCGACAAGCCGCGCCUCCACACCUUCGCAAGGCGUCUGCUGCCGUUCGCGUACCUUGUCCUCCUGGUGGCCGUCUCCACCAGCGGCCUCGCCAUCUCAUUCAAGCCCUGA
RNAcentral lists this ribosomal RNA (408 nucleotides) under Triticum aestivum (bread wheat). RNAcentral's name for it is "partial small subunit ribosomal RNA". The record is from RNAcentral. Lineage: Eukaryota; Viridiplantae; Streptophyta; Magnoliopsida; Poales; Poaceae.